RNAcentral lists this ribosomal RNA (253 nucleotides) under uncultured bacterium. Its description in RNAcentral is "partial 16S ribosomal RNA". It matches the Rfam family "Bacterial small subunit ribosomal RNA", at positions 524 to 776 of the family's 1533-position model. The record is from RNAcentral.
UACGAGGGGGGCAAGUGUUGUUCGGAAUCACUGGGCGUAAAGGGAGCGUAGGCGGACGUUUAAGUUGGAUGUUUAAAACCGGGGCCCAACCUCGGAGCGGCAUCCAAAACUGGGCGUCUUGAAUGGAACAGAGGCUAGUGGAAUUGGGGGUGUAGCGGUGGAAUGCGUAGAGAUCCCCAAGAACACCAAUUGCGAAGGCAGCCAGCUGGGUCCACAUUGACGCUGAGGCUCGAAAGCCAGGGGAGCGAACGGG